This is a long non-coding RNA of Mastomys coucha (southern multimammate mouse), 2127 nucleotides long. RefSeq lists it as uncharacterized. NCBI's taxonomy places the organism in Eukaryota, Metazoa, Chordata, Mammalia, Rodentia, Muridae. The transcript is spliced from 2 exons. The record is from RefSeq and is a predicted model, not a curated record.
UGAGCAGUGAUCCCAUCAGCAAACCGUUGUGCCUAAAGCUACGCAUUCCAGUGGGGAAGAAGUGUGUGUGAGCGCACAAGCUGCUUAGGGACCCUCAGCAGGACCGAUGAAUACAGACAAUCACGAAUACCCUCAUCCAAGAUGUAUUUACCAAGAACCGAGGAUAUCCCAGGCAGUAUUCUGGGUGCUGCUACCUAAGCCAACAGCCUAUCAGGAGUUCGAUCUUCAGGCAACGGACAGCUUUUCACCACAUGCCCAGGCUACACACACACCUUGCUCUGUGCACGAUAGGUUCUCACAAGUCAGGCAAAGAACUGCUUAAAGACUUCUCAGGACUCAUGCUCUCCGUACUGGAACUGUCGAAUAAGACCUGCAAGAGACCAUCCUUCAUCAUGGAAACUGGUGACCAGUAGGAGGCGCUGUGGAUUCACGUGGCAGGCUGGGCACAACACUGCUUCAGCUUAGGGACUUGGAGGCUUCGGUUGGUUGUGCUGUACUCCUGGCAUCCAUUCACAGGGCUGGAGACAGUGAUGCUGUCCAGGUUGGCACUUGGGCAGCAGACGGUUCUGGGCACCUAGGAGAUGGAGCUGUAUGAGCUGUACGAGCUUGCACAGGCAGUGAACACUGCCAUCAACUCUGGUGUGUUCAAGUGAGAAGGCUGCUCAUCUGGCGUAGGCCUGUGGUUCCAAAUGGGUCUGCGUUCACACUGGUGUAGCAUAACAGUUGCAGGAGGGAACCAGGCCAGAAGAAGCAGUGUGUACAACUUGUUACCUGUCAGACACCUCCAUGAGCUAGCACACAACCUCUGCACACCCGAUCUACAGAAUGUAAGUAAUUAGCUCCCCACCCUUUGACACCAUUGUCCUCAAUGCACUAGUGCAUGGACAGAGAAGCUGUACACAUAACCAUCACCCUAGGAAGAGACAGCCAACCUCACACUGCCAACCAGGUAAGAGAAAUACAUGUCCCAUCUGCCUCAUUAUCUUCCCCAUGCCAUGGCCCCUGUGACAUCUGGCUCAAACAGGUGGGACAUGCAGUGACAAUGUAUCUUCCAGCCACUAAAGAAGCAAGGCAACUAAUAUGACAAUGUAAGUAGAAGUCAUGACCCAGUGUGAAGUACCAUGGUGUUUAGGGAGUAUUCUUUCUUUGAGCUUCUUGGAUUGGGAAAUUCUUCUAAGCAAAGUAACAAAAGAUUUGCAUGGCCUUCAUCAUUAGGUCUUGGAAGUGGUAGAAAUGGUAAGUCUGUGAGAACUGUUGCUUCAUUAUCUAUUUCCUGUUAGGGUGAAAUAGCAUUUGGUACCAGGAUAUUCAGAUAGAGGAUUCUAGGAACAGAAAACCUGAGACAUAUGUCUAGCCAUCUCCCCUCAAGGUAAAGGUUGCCUAACCUAAGGCAACAUGAGGGAAAUGUGUUCCUGAGAGACAAGGUACCAGAAUCCAUUAGGGAUACCAUCCAAUAGGCAAGACCAGUUCCUUAUAACAACUCUGAAGCACCAGGCCUCCUCUGCGUUGAAACAUUGGCUCAGCAAAGCACGUGUCCAUUUCUAUUGCCCUCUGAGUUGUAAAACCCAGAGUUCAGAUGUUAACACAAGUCAAAAUACAUCCUUUCUCAGCUAAAUGUCCUGGAUCAACUGGAUGCUCAUCAUUAUAGAAAUUAAUAAUAACCAAUGGUCUUCCCAGUUUUUAAUUUUCCACAAGUCUGACAAAUUCCACAAUACAGAAAAUAUACUCAUUCCCCAGGUGGUUAUGCUUCUUGUACAAAGUUUCAACACAGGAUUGACCACCACAAAGGUCCAUGUACUCUCUGGUCUAUAAUAUGCUCAUGAGAGAUAACAUGAAAUAAAAAUCUAUCCAUCAAAACUUCCCUUUUUGGGGUAGGAUGAGAACUCAUGAAACUAAAUAGUUGUUCUGAAAACAUGAGCAGGUGAGCUGACAUCUAGUGAACAAAUAAAGGCCUUGCAUCUCAAUGUGACCUAUAAAAUUAUGCCUAUGAUGAUAGAAGGUCUAGCCACACUUCUCACCAGCUUAAAGGCAAAUGUCUCAGUAUACGAGGUCAAGAUAACACUUGAGAUGCUUUACAACUUGUACAUGAGCCAACAUAUUCAAGUGGUCCAGACACACAUAUGAAGU